This 805-nucleotide long non-coding RNA is filed under the name Piliocolobus tephrosceles (Ugandan red Colobus). RNAcentral's name for it is "lncRNA (ENSPTEG00000023903.1)". Lineage: Eukaryota; Metazoa; Chordata; Mammalia; Primates; Cercopithecidae. The record is from RNAcentral.
AAAUAAAUAAAUAAAUAAAUAAAUAAAUAAAUAAUAAAAUAAAAUAGGAAAAAAUAUGUACUAAUAAAACAAAAAUGAACUUAUUAAAAUAUCAUAAUAAGCUAAAAAGUAGAACAUUAAUAACAUAAAAAAAAAAUAUAUAUAUAUAUAUAUAUAUAUAACUUCUGUUUUGUUUUUUUAAUUAUUUAAAAUAACAUUUUUAUUACUUUUUAAAAAUUCAAUUAAACAUUAUGAAAUAUAUGAAUUUACAAAAAACACUACUAAAAAAGAGUAAUGACAAGAUGAAUACAAAAAAGGGAGAUCCCCGAUUUUACUAUGCAUGUUAUGUAAUUAUAGUCUUGACAAUAAUAUUGUCUAAAUUUGUUGUAAUACCUUUAAUUGCCCAAAUGUUUUUAUACACAUUUAUAACUAUUUAUAUUGGAAGUCAUGAUAGUUUGAAGCAAUUAGAAGCUGAUGAUAAGUGUAAAAAGGCUGAUAAUAUAACUGCCUACGACGCUAUCAUGUUUCCAAUUAUUGGAUCUGGAGCUUUACUAACACUAUAUUUUGCAUACAAAUUUCUAGAUCCAUAUUAUGUAAAUAUGUUAUUAACUGUUUACUUGACGUUAGCUGGUAUAUUUUCAUUACAAGGUGUUUGUUCUAAUAUUUUGGUAAAUAUAUAAAUAUAUAUUACCAAAAUAUAUAUAUAUAUAUAUAUAUAUUUUGGUUAGUUAUCACAGUUUAAAAAAAUGGAUAUGCUGGCAACAGAUAUAUGUGUUAUUUAUGUUUUAUACCCAAAUGAAUUGUACCUAUAUAUAUAUAUAUAUAU